UCGGACUGUAGGCUGCAACUCGCCUACACGAAGUCGGAAUCGCUAGUAAUCGCGAAUCAGCAUGCCGCGGUGAAUACGUUCCCGGGCCUUGUACACACCGCCCGUCACACCAUGGGAGUUUGUAACGCCCAAAGUCGGUGGCCUAACCUUUAUGGAGGGAGCCGCCUAAGGCGGGACAGAUGACUGGGGUGAAGUCGUAACAAGGUAUC
Molecule: ribosomal RNA, 209 nt
Filed under: uncultured bacterium
Lineage: Bacteria
Description: partial 16S ribosomal RNA
Rfam family: Bacterial small subunit ribosomal RNA
Source: RNAcentral